GACAGUGCGGCUGUAGCUGGCUGAGCGCAGCGCGUCCCUGCCUGCAGCUGUGGCACGGCAAUGACCUACAGCCCGUGCUCCUCCCAUUGAUGUGGGUGCACGCAGACUUUGCAGGGUCCAAGCUCUGCAUUUUAGUACUCAUUUUGAAUGAGUUUUCUUUAAAUCACGUUUAUUUUCGAUGUUGGCUUUCUCGGGACCGCAUUCAGGAUCUGAGCUUUCUGCAGGAGCAUCUUUGCCAAGAAACUCUUUCAGGAGAUAAUUUAAGGAAAAUGAGCACCAAAGAAUGGAAAUUACAGGAUUGAAUUCGCUUAAUUCAAAUGGAAAAAGUCUUCAUGGUUUCUACCCAGCAGUCAGAAUCCAAGACAACUCCUCAUUUUGUUGAAGAAUUGUCCAGAAAUGAAGAAGACUUUCCUGUCAGAGGGAGAUUUCUCUGCCAUGGAUCUCAUCUGGGUUCUGGAAACUACUGUUCCCCUGAGAAAAUGAAGGGAAUAUGGACCUCUCCAGGAGUCAAAUUUCUGUCUUUUGCAUACCUGCACUGAUUGGGCUUCCAAGGUGGGAGAUUUCUUACCUUCUCCUUUGGAUAGUAACAGCAGAGCAUUUGUUUGGUCCACCUUGCCCAGGGAGGAGGCUACCAUCAGCACUAGUGGGCAUGCAGGUUCAGAGAGAUGGGCAGGAUCUGCAUGAGCCUUGAACCAAGACUGCUGAACACAAUGUCAGUAGGUGUUUUGCUUGACUUUACACUCCAUGUUUGGGCAUGUUUGAAAGCAGGCAAGGCAGUUGACUGAAUGCAUUCAGAUCUCCAGCCCAGAGGAGAUGACAAUUUAAUUUUGAAUCACAGAAUCACAGAGUAACACAGAAUCACAGAACUGCAGCGGUUGGAAGGGACCUCAUGAAAACGAAUCCAGCUCCCCUGCUAAAGCAGGUACCCUACAGCACGUUGCAUAGGUAGGUGUCCAGAUGGAUCUUGAAUAUUCCCAUAGAAAGAGACCCCACAACCUCUCUGAGCAGCCUGUUCCCCUUACUGUAAAGAAGUUCUUCUGCAAGUUGGUACAGAACUUCCUAUGUUCAAGUUUUAGGUAAUUGUUCCUUGUCCUGUUGUUACACACCACUGAGAAUAGACUGGCCCCAUCCAUUUGCCUUUGACCUCCCUUUAGAUAUUUAUAAACAUUUAUCAGAUCUCUCCUCAGUCAUUUCACCAGGUGAACAGACCCAGGUUACUCAGACUUUCCUCAUAUGUGAGAUGGUCCAAGUCCUUUACCAUCUUUGUGGCCCUCCACCAGUCUCCUUCUAGGAGAUCGCUGUGUUUUUUGAACUGAGGAGCCCAGAACUGGACACAGUACUCCAGAUGUGGCAUCAUCAGGGCAGAGUAGAGGGGGAGGAUCACUUCUGUUGACCUGCUGGCCAUGCUGAUGACCAGCAGGAUGAGCUAAAAAAAAUAGGAGAUGAGGUUGCCCAUAGAUGCAACCCUCUUGGAGCUUCUCUAAAACAAGCCCAUCUGUUUGCUCAUAUUUACCCUGUCUGGAUGAUGCUACAGACUUUUUUGCAGCUAUCAUUUCCCAGUGUUGUUGAAUUCAGGGUGGAAAUAGUGGUGAGAACAUUUUCCUGGGACUCUUCCUCCCCUCUGAACUGAAAUGGAGCCCACCCCUGGCAAGAGAUGGGCAGGUGGAAGACAGCGUAAGUGUUGUGUGGAAAGGGACACUGACCUGCUCUGUCGUCUCUGAUGAAUUACUUCCACAAAGCAGCAACGUGGUUAUCUUUAACAAGAACUUUGUCCAGCACAGCGAGGCUUUGCUUCAGCUUCGCCACUGUGGAAUACUCUCAUAACUUUAAUUCAUAUCAGGGGUCGAUUGUGAGUUUAAAUAUAUGCAAUGCACUUUUAAGUCUUGUGCAAACAAAGACCAGACAGGGACUGGGACAAACUGAUGCAUGAGCAACCAUGUUGUUCCUUCUCCAGUCCAAGAACUGGAUUCUUUCACAAAAUCCUCUGUGUGGCAGUGAUAACAAGACAAAUAUUUGACAUAGCUGUAAGAUAACACUCUGACACACUAGUAAACACAAGUGAAUUAGUGGUUAUGAGAGAGACCCCAUGACACAGUUGCUUGCAGUAAGUUGGAUGCCAUCUCUUAGAAGACUUCUUGCAACCUGUUCUUAUCGGUUUUUGGUACAGAUUAAUGGGGAGUCUUCCAGUAGGAUUUGGGUUACUGUCUGGCAUAGACACUUUUGAAAAUCUUACCUUAUCUCUAUGUAAUGACUAUGUAAUUCAUGCAGUGUGUUGAAGGUACACUUGAAAAAGUAGGUCUGGAUCGUAAUAUCCCUCCCUGCAUCCUUCUUUCCCAUCAGGCCAAAAUGGCACACCUCUGUGUGUGCUGGAUUACAAUUUAUGCUGAAAAUGUUCCACAAAGGUCAUAGCAGCUAUCUGAGGAACAAGCAGAGCUGUGCACCCUGCCCUGUGCUCAUGUAGAUUACCAGAGGUAGCAAUAAGGCCAGGGACUGUGUGCAGUAAGGAAAACUAGAGAAACUUGGAAACUGCGCAGGCUUUAGAUUGUAGAGUGUUACCAAGGGCUCAGAUGGGAGAGUUUACCAGAAGAAGUGCAAUUUAGAAAUUGAAACAGAUGGAAUUUCAGUAUCCUUUGCAAAUUGGCGUAUCAGACUCCUACAAUAGCUUGCAGAAUCCUUGUCCCUCCCAGUGCAUAGCUGGUUCUUACUCCCUGAACUUGAUUUGUUAACAUCUGAUGUCGAAGGGUCUGUUUCUUAUUUUUGUUGAGUUAUACCUUAAAUGUGUCCUUUUUGGCUACUUAUGUUCUCAUUUCUGCAAAGCGGCAGCCAAGCAGGGGCCCAAGAGCUCAUUCCUGGCCUUCAGAUUUAUUCCCAUCGCUUUGAUGGGUUGAGUCUGGUGCUGCCUGUAUUGCAGAGCACCUGGAUGGGGCGAUCACAGGCAUUCACUGGCACUGUGAUCUCAGCUGUGGAAACAAUUCUGCUGGCAGCAGAAGCUCAGUUUCACUGGGGAGGGGCCCAUAUUUCUUGUUUGAAGUGUGUGAAGCCUCAUCACAGUUCUGUUAUCAGACCCACUGGAAUUUUUUCCUUUCCUCUCUUCUUGGUCCACCUUCUCUCAUUCCUCUAAAUCUUACUUUACUUCUGCUUCUUCUCAAAGUCCCUAAUGUUACUUUUCUGGCUCUUUUUUUCUGUAAUCUCUCCCUUCAUUUUUUCUUCACCCAUUAGCUCUUCCUUCACAAUGCUCCUCUACUGCCUCCUCCAUUUUCUCUGCCUCUCUUGUUCACUUUCCAGGUGCCUCUCAUUCUUCUCCCCAUGUCCUCACUUUCAUUUCUUCUCCAGAAGCUCUCUGAAUUGCUGCAGCUAUGGGGUAUACCCCUUGGAAAGAUAGCCCUGUCUGAGUUAGAGGUGCUGUGAGCUGCAGGUCUGUUGCUGAUGUUAGUAUUUUUUUUGACAAGUGACACAGGUGACACAAGUGACACAGGGGGCCCAUGGAGCCAAGUAGCGUAGCUGGGCAGUAGAAGGCAGCUUAUGCCACAAAAGACAUCACUUGCUCCAUGGACCAAAAGAGAUUACAGCCCCAUUCCGACACAUAAACCAUUGAGGUUUACUGAAAAUAAGGAUUGAUUUGCUGGGCUAUUUAGAGGCAUUAAGAUGCAGAUAUAUAUUUUCUCCCCAGUCUGAUGUCAUUUUGCAUGUUAACUGCCUAAUUCCUUUUAGCCUAUUGAUUUUACUGGUUUAUAAGAAUGACACUUGUGUAGAAACUGUGGAGAACUUUGCUCAGGGUGACCAGUGAAGACUGUCAGUUUCUCUCAGUCGUCUUAUGGGGGGACUGAAGGCUCAGCACAGUUUAAGAGGAGAAAAAAUAGGGAGAGAAAGAACAAUGGCACUUCAUAGACCAUACUCCUUAGGUUGUAUCUGACUCUGGCUAAAUGACCUGGACUGAAAAAUGUUUUCCUGAGGCUCAGCUCAGCUGACAUCUGCAGCAUGGUCCUCAUAUUUUGUGAUAGUCGAGAGUGGUAUUCAUGAAAUUCUGUGUCAACUUCUUUAGCAUAUUAAGAUUGAAGAAUGCUAUGAAGUAAGCAUGAAUAUCAUUAUUCAAUUUCUCUUCCUUCUAGUAACUCUGAUUUACUUCAGAUUUUACGUGAUCUCCCAAUUAUCAGAGUUUGAUGUGCCACAGGUGUUUCUAUAAGCAUACUGUUGUAUUGCUUUUCGUUCCUUGGAGAACAGUUGAUGCUUUGCCAAUGUCUGAAUGGACCUGCUAACUCUGAGAGCAAAGAAGUGGUUAAUUUGAUAAUAUUUAACUUGCCAAACCAUUCAUAUGCAGAGGUAACGUGCUCAGGAGUUGAACAGGGCAGUGCGAUCUCCCUUAGCUAUCAUUUCAGGAUGCCUGCAGAAUCAGGAAGGCCGUGUAUCAGCUUACACUCAACUUGGUAAUCUUGCAUGGGGCCUGUUUGUGUCUCUUGUGCUGAAGGCUGAAUGUAAAAUGAACAUUGUUAGCCAAGAAAGCAAAUAAAGGGAACUAUUUCCCAAGGCAUUUUACUCUGUUUAUUUAACGCCUCUGAACAAACCCCUUUCCACAUCCUCUGAACCUACUGGCAACUUCAGAUAGCUCCAUUUCCUGCUGGGUGAGUUUUUUCUAAAAUGUUUAUUCAGCUCCAGGAAAUGAUGAUUUCCUGAAUAUUCUGAAACUUCAUAUUUUUGUUGUAUCCCUGUUUAUUUAAUAGUCUUACUUAUUGUGUGAGUGUGCAAAGCACAACAACAUCCCUUGCCAUGUAACUGUGGAAGGAGUGGAACUUGAUGUAGUACAUCAAAAACCAGUUUAAGUGAAACUAGAUCUGUUUUUGCCAAUUUAUACACUAGUGUAUUUCCAUUAGCUUGAGUAGUUACUCCUUAUUUACACUGACCUUAAUGAGUUCGGAAGUAGGCUUUUAAAUUUCUCCUACUCCUUAAGAAAAAGUGCCUAAAAAUUCAAACUAGUGAAGGAGAAUUAAUUAGCCCAAAGCUCAACAUUUUAUAAUUCACAGCUUACAUUAAUGUCUGCUAGUUUUCUUUAUGCAGGAAACCAAUAGAAGGCACCAAAUGUUUUCGUCGCCCUCCACUGGGACUAAAAUUGAGAAAUUCUUAUUUUCUGAGGUCAAAGCUAACCUGUAUCCAGCACCCCAUCCCAACAUGGGUUUCACUAAAGAGAUUGAAACCUGUACACAGCCUUAAUGAAAAGGCCAUAAUAUUUUAUGUGAACCAGGAGUAACUAUGCUGAAAUGAGAAGUGCUUCACUAAGGUAAAUCAAGUGGGAUUGGUCCCAAAAGAAAUUCAGGAAUUACAUAGCUUUGCCAUUAACCUUGAACUGAGCCAAGUGUGUCUUCCAUGCUUUCUCCUUCUUUCUUGUCUACUUUUUGUUAACCUGCAUGGUCAGCUAUGACUUUUUUUUUUUUUCUUUUCUUUUUACAGGCAGAAAAGGUAAUUUAUGUUUCUUCUGAGCCUCAAGAGACAAUAUGGGCAUGCUGCGUUACCAUGCCCUAAAUGAAAUCUUAGAGUACCUAAGUAAAACUCACUCCACCCUUACCUGGAAGUUCCACUCAUGGAAACCACAUCCUUUCAUUGCCACCCACGUCUCCAUUCGGAAAGGACUUUGAAGGAGGAAGACUGAAGAUUAGAUCAUUCUUUUAUUAAGCAUCCUUUUGUCUGUUUUGCUCCAGAAACCAUGCUCUUCCUCUCCUAUGAGUCAUUUGUUGUUACUCUUACAACGUCUGUGGUAGGAAGGCUGGGUGCUUUCCCCCAAUUUAAAAUGUUCUUUUUAGAGUCUCUUCUCUUCUCUUCUCUUCUCUUCUCUUCUCUUCUCUUCUCUUCUCUUCUCUUCUCUUCUCUUCUCUUCUCUUCUCUUCUCUUCUCUUCUCUUCUCUUCUCUUCUCUUCUCUUCUCUUCUCUUCUCUUCUCUUCUCUUCUCUUCUCUUCUCUUCUCUUCUCUUCUCUUCUCUUCUCUUCUCUUCUCUUCUCUUCUCUUUUUCUUCCCUUCCCUUCCCUUCCACUCCCUUCCCUUCUCCCUUUCCUCUCCUCUCCCUUUCUCCUCCCCUCCCCUCCCCUCUCCUCCCUUCCUUCCUUCCAUGUCCCUUCUUUGUUUUUUGUUAUGCAUUUCAUAUUCAUUCACUAUUUUUACCCAAUUCAGACAGAGCCAUGCUACAUUGUGGACUAUUGCCAAAAAUUCUGCCAGUGACAAAGAUUGAAGCCUUCAUACGAACUGGAAGGAGUCUGUUCUUGGUCCACCCCAUGUGAAGCAACACUGUGCCCAUGCAUCUCUAUCUGAGAUGAAUAUUCUUUCUUUUGAUGCCAAGUAUUUGAUGUCCACCUACUGAGCUGAGUAAUCUCUGAGGAUGCCAUUGUUGCCAUGUUACCUCCUUCCUGAGUUCCUGUUGUGUAACUUUCCCACCAAGGCCUGAAUCUUGAUAUGUUUGCUGUAUGAUACUACCACAAUUCCUUAAGGAGUAACAUGAUAGUUUUCUGCAGAGGAAUGUUUUCUGAACAUGGCCAAAAUAUGGCAUUUGGAAAAGUGAGCUGCACAUCAUUUCUCCAAAUGAGAAUGCAAAUAGCGGAGAAUGCAAAUAGCUGGCCUUUUAAAGCCUCCCUGAAAAUUUCAUAGACAACUCAGAUCAAUAUGAUUUAAAGGACUUCUCUCCUGACAACACUAACCCUAUGGAUAGUCCCUCCCAUGCUGUCUGUGAUCAUCCUACCAGGCCCUGCUGCCAGCAUGAAAAAUACAAUAUCAAGUUUGAGGAAAUCUGUGGCAGAAAAUAAUACCAACUUUUGCAUGUACUACUGAGUAACUGGACUCCAAAAGUGAAACAGAGAGAGUGACAAGUAAUGAUGGACAAGAAAAGGCUCAUCCCUUAGACACAAAGCAAGCUCCAAGAUCUGCUCUUCCUACUUGUGUUAUAUUUACCUUGUCUUUCUGUACUGUGGAGACACAGGAACUCACAGGGCAUGGUGAUCCAAGCUUGCAAAUGGAAACAAGGUCUACAGUCUCGGUGAGGAAGCUGGCAUGGUGGGGUGUGUUAAGGCCCACAACAUAUUACAUGAUGAUGGAUUGAUGGGACCACAUCAAGGGGCCCUGAGAGCAAUGUGGCUCUUUGGCCCCAUAAUAACACCAGUGACAAAAAUCAAAGGAAUAAGAAGGAGCAGUUAACAUUUCCUCCACAAAUGCUAAAAACAGCACCAAAUAAUGUGUAUGAAUCAUCAUAUCUACUCUUACGCAAGCUGGAAUAAAAAUGUAAGAGUCAUGCAAACUGGGAUAAACUGUCACGCUCUGAGACAUAAUGCAUCUCCAGAAGUAAAGAAGAAACUGUUCCACAGGCAAGACUUGGCAUAAUUACACUCUGUGCGGGAUUUUGCACCUUUCUUUAAAGUAUCUGUGCUAACAACUGCCAGAGAUGACGUACCAAGCUGCAGAAGGCGUUUGGCUAACCUGCAGUGGCAGUGCCUAUCUCACUACUGGUUUAAUUCUGUCCCCCUUCCACUUUUUCACUACACACCCAUGCUACGAGACUGUAUGACAAAUGCCACUCAAAGGCAAGAGGUACACAUCCAGUAUUAGGUUUGUAAGGCAAUUAAAUUGUCCUUUUAAUGUUCUCUUAAUCACUGUGGUUUCUGUAGCGCCAUAUUAGAUACAUGUUGAAAUGAUGUCUUACUUCCACUGAUUAUACCAGUGUCCUUGUCUUUAAUGCAUUCACACUUCUGAAAGUUACUGCUCUUUUUGUCUUGUCUCCAGCUACAAUAUUCAGAAGACUAUGUUCUUAAAAGCAGCAAUUAGCACAUUGCAGUGGUACAGACGUCAACUAAUCCCCAUGGUGAUGAGAUCCCAAAGGCAAAGCAUGUGCUAACAAUCUGAACAAUACCAGGGAGCAUUUCUGGGCAUUGGGACUCAGUCAUCUAUAUUGCUAAAUUACCAGGAUCCCUCCAGGCACAUUUUCAGCCCAUCCUGACCACCAAUGUCAAACAGUCCCCAGUAUUGGAGUCAGCUUGGGACACUGACCAUUCCCCUCAAGCAGUUCGGAUGUGAUCACCCUCCCCUGGAGAGUUUCACAGUGCAGAUGAAAUGCAUCCCAUUCUGUGCCCAGGGGGCCUCCCUUCCAGAGGACAGCAAUAGAUGCAGUUAAUACAGUAAUGUUGAUAGCUGAGGUUCUCCCAUCUCAUAUUCACUUCUUGCUUUCAUUCCCUGUACUCAUGAAAUUCUUACUCUCGUCUGCCUUCUCUUCUGCUUUAUCACAUAGCGUGGUGUGAUGCCCAUGACUUAAGCAAGGAUAGCCAUCAUUCUUCGUGCUCCCCCAUAAGCAAGGUGUUUAGGGCUGCAGGACUCAGAGGAUGCCCUGGGUUCUGGAUUUUCUUAUGUUUAGAAUCCCUUUCCUCAGAGCCAGGAACUACAGUGAUUUAGCAAACAGUGUGAUAUCUAAUAGCUAGCAAGCUGAGAGGUAUGGAACAGCCAACGGGGAAAGCCCUGCAAAAGAACAGAGUGAAUCCCAGAGCCACAGCUGGGUGCCUAUGGCUGCUACCUUUGGUGAAAACUGAUGGUGCCUGUCAUUUUGGGGGAUUAGGUUCUUGAACUAGCCCUGUCUUAGAGACUGUUAGGUAUAGAGGCAGGCCAGUAAAUGAUUUCUGGUUUCAGGAGUGGCUGGGGGGAUUAGUAUACACAUGUGUUUACAGCCUUGCAGUGGCAAUAGGUUGCCUAAAUGUUCUGUGGAUCAAACUACACAUCAGCCAGUGCUGAGAUUUACAGGGCUUCCUUGCAGUUCAGCUUAUUAUGGCCCAUGGUGCCUCACCACAGUUCUCCUGGCAAGUGUCUUAGCACGAAGAGCCAGACCAAGGUCAGGAUACUUCCAAAUUCAUCAAAAAGGGACUGAAAUUAACCACAGGCAGUGCAGGGCACUAUGUUGUCCCCAUGCAGCAGUAUCACAUUCCCCGUUGGGUCCCAUGUGUCAUCCAGAGCUGCUUGAUGUGCUGUGUUAUAAGCACAGGCUUUCUCUAUCCGAACCACACCAUAUGGGUGCCUCAUUCCUUUUACAUGCGGCUGCAGGUUUCCUGCUGCAUAUGCUCAGCCUCCCACAGCUGGAAGCAGUAAGAGGUAGUUUGAUCUACAUGUUAUACUCAGGAAGGAUUGAAGUUUGCAAAUUUUUAGCACUCUGCACGCUAGCAGGCCCAUAAUAAUCUUUAUUGGCGGGUUUGUUUGCUUUAUGGUUGCAAUUUUCAUCCUUCGAUGAGAAGCUUCCAGCACUUCCUGCAGGAGCAGAAGGCUAUUGUCACUUUAUCACUUCACAGUUGCAGAUCUCUGUCCACCACUCACUGGUCUGUGGUAAACAACAUCUCCAGCGUUGCUUCUGUCCGUCAAGGGAAAGGGUUGAGCUGGCAUUUUGCCACAUUUGGCAAGUGUGGGCUGAUACAAACGAUACGAGGUUUUUUUUAUAGUGCCUAUCACCAGAGUAUCAAAGCGCUGAAACACUGCUAGUCGUGUUUGCCUCCCCAUUGAUCUUAUCACCAAAGGCCAGUCCUACCAUCCGUCUUCCAUGUGGUAUUGCUUAGAGGCUUCGUUUUGUCAGAUAGGCUGCUCUGCAUCCAGUGCUGGGGUAGGCUCUAACUCUGGGAUCUGGUUCCAGGCUUUAAUUAGGACUGAUGGCAAAUGGGCUGUUCACAAAUGCUUUUUGCAAGAUGACUCCUGCACAGUCAGAAGCUCUCUUAAAUUCAUUUGUCUCAUGUAGUGAACUUUUCAUUGCUUUAAGAGGCCUACGGAUGCUGCAGGUGUUAAAACUGAGGUCAAAGUAUUCUACAUCAGGUGGAACCCACAUAGGCAACAUCCUAGAAACUAAUUUGUAAUAAGUCUGUGAUGUUCAGAACGAGAUGGUUCUGCCAAUCUGAGCUGACUGACUGUUUGUUCAUGAUCUAUAUAAUAGUUGCAUUAGACCUUUUAAAUUUCAAUAUAUUUUUAUGCUUUGGCACUCUCCAGACACAUUGAAAUAAAUCUUGUGCAUUUCUGCAUGUUGCAGCAACUGGGUAAGUGCUACUGUGGUCAGUUUUAAUAGGUAUUAAUACAGUAAGUAGCAAGCAAAUUAUAACUGUUUCACAUUAGACGUAAUUUUACAGCAGACAAUUUUAUAAGGAGAAUGGAAUGAAUCAAAUACAGUAGUUUGUAUUAAAAUAUCUUUUACAUUCCCUGUGUUCCAGUGGAACUGAUGACAAGUCUAAGGAAGCAUGCUAGGACAAACAGACCAGAAAAUUAAAUUCUUCUAGCUUUCAUAUGCCACAGCAGGAAUAAUUUGGCUUUUUUUUUUCUUUCUUUCUCAGCCUUUCUUUCAAUUUUCUUUUUUGGAGAGAGGAUGACAAUGUAGUAUUACAUUUCCAAAUCCUAUAAAAAACCAUACAUUUUCAGUUUCAUACAACUAUGGUCUGGUUUAGUUCCUCUGGAUGGACUCUAAUGUGGUAUUCGUGAUAAUGUCAUUUACUUUGCAUGUGAAUAAAGCCAAAUGGUUACACACAAGGCUUGAAUCUCAUAGCUCUGGAUCUUUGGGAAAUGUUUAUUCUCUCAAUUAAGCAUAUAUAUAUUUGCCAGAUGUACAAGGUCUCACAGCGUUUUUAUGUACACCCCAUGCUAAAAGAGUCUGUGCUCAAGCUCUAGAUCCCACUGAAUGCAGAGCACUUCAACAUGUGGGUGUCUUUGCACUGAGGCAUUGGCUGCUUUGAUCUCAGUGUUCUUCGUGAGUCAGGAGAUCACUGUGAAGGCUCUGAGGGACUUCGUGUCUGCUGGCAUCAGUGGGGCAUCCAGAUCAGAUCUUCCUUAGUAAGAUGGGAGCUUAUUCAGCCUGAUUUUCACUGUCCAAAGGUGGAGUGCCUUGCCUCGACUAGCUAUGAUCAAUAUGGACAGAGACACACCUAUCAGGGAGCCAUUUAUUUCAUGCUUAUGUAUGAGAUAAUCAGUCUUAUUCAAGACCAGUGGGAGAACUGGCUCCUGUCUGUAUAUCACCUGUAAGGAGAGCCCAAACAACAGGCUUGGCUAGGUGACUACCAUUCAGAUAGCUGUGCUAUAGGGCCAAGAUACAGACAGGCUGCCACCUGGGUGGAGACAACCAUCUACAUGUGAUGCAUGUGGUGAUGGAAGUCACCAUGUUCUCAAGCCCUUUCUUUACCUUGGAGCAGACACAGCACUGGUCAUAAAUCAGCAGUAAAUAAAAUGCUAAAACUUAACAAGUUGAAAAGAAUAAUCAACUCAUGCUUACAUAGGAGUUACAUGAAAACUUCCUAAAAAUAUUUGCGUUAUGAAUCUGUCUAUCCCUGGUCUAGAGAGGUUCCAGCAGUC
RNAcentral lists this long non-coding RNA (11326 nucleotides) under Gallus gallus (chicken). RNAcentral's name for it is "lncRNA (ENSGALG00010004523.1)". The record is from RNAcentral. Lineage: Eukaryota; Metazoa; Chordata; Aves; Galliformes; Phasianidae.